This 616-nucleotide long non-coding RNA is filed under the name Phoenix dactylifera (date palm). RNAcentral's name for it is "long non-coding RNA (PDAC_LNC020575)". Lineage: Eukaryota; Viridiplantae; Streptophyta; Magnoliopsida; Arecales; Arecaceae. The record is from RNAcentral.
ACUGGGAGUCGACUCGUCUUAACCUGGAGUCGACUCGCCAACUUCUGGAGCUGACUUGGCAAUUUCGGAGUCGGCUCAUCCACUGAAGUCCGUGGAUCCAAUUUUGAAUUUGAUCCACUUCGAGUCGACUCGACUGUCCUGGGAGUCGACUCGAAUCUCAGAGCCCGAACUCCCGAUCCUCUGUCUUUUGGCUCAUCCAGUCUUGGAGUCGACUCGAAUUUCCUCGGAGUCGACUCGACUCUCAGUUUCCGAAAGUUGGUCUUCUGCCUUUUGACGUGAAGCUUGUCUUGGAGUCGACUCGAGCUGUCUGGGAGUCGACUCGAAUCUCAGAGGCAGUAACUUGGUUUUCUGUCUGUUGAUGGUCGCGGAGUCUCGGAGUCGACUCGUGCAAUGCGGGAGUCGACUCGAAUCUCAGAGUCCAUGAAAUGCUCUCUGACUUUUUCUUUAUGUACCGCUGAGAGUCGACUCUUGCUUUCUUUGGAGUCGACCUGCCAACCAUCGGAGUCGACUCGCGUUCCACUGGAGUCGACUCGAAUUUCAGACCCGAAAACUGCUCUCUGACUUUUCUGCCUGUGACUCCUAGGAGUCGACUCAUACUUCCCCGGAGUCGACUCGG